GACGAACGCUGGCGGCGUGCUUAACACAUGCAAGUCGAGCGGUAAGGCCCGUUUCGGGGGUACACGAGCGGCGAACGGGUGAGUAACACGUGGGUGACCUGCCCUCAGUUCUGGGAUAAGCCUGGGAAACCGGGUCUAAUACUGGAUAUGACCUCAUGACGCAUGUUGUGGGGUGGAAAGCCUUGUGCGACUGAGGAUGGGCCCGCGGCCUAUCAGCUUGUUGGUGGGGUGAUGGCCUACCAAGGCGACGACGGGUAGCCGGCCUGAGAGGGCGACCGGGCCA
Molecule: ribosomal RNA, 283 nt
Filed under: uncultured bacterium
Lineage: Bacteria
Description: partial 16S ribosomal RNA
Rfam family: Bacterial small subunit ribosomal RNA
Source: RNAcentral